Molecule: long non-coding RNA, 362 nt
Organism: Corapipo altera (White-ruffed manakin)
Lineage: Eukaryota; Metazoa; Chordata; Aves; Passeriformes; Pipridae
Exons: 3
Source: RefSeq, a predicted model, not a curated record
AGGAAGAUUUGGCCAAAGGUAGUAGAAAGUGAUCAGAAGAUGAAUAACUGCGAAUCAACUAACCCAUUAAAGAUAAAUAAAUCUGUUGUGAUGGAGUUCUCAAAACAUUGAAACACGCUGUCUGAAGGCUGUGUAUGGAGUACCUGCAUGGAGAAGGAGGUAGGAAAGAGUGAAACUGUAAAGGCACCCUACAAGCUGGAUCCUUCAACAUUUCAACGUGAACUCCUGGGACUGCUUCUCUAAUUUGUAAAAUGUGCAGAGGCCAUCUCAGGAUCAGGAUCAUAGUGCCUUGUCAGCAGCCUGUGGUGGUCCUGCAAGGAAUUACAUGUUACUGAAGGAGGUUUCUUCCCUCUCUUUGCUGU